CCGAGUUUACAACUCCCAAACCCCUGUGAACAUACCUAUACGUUGCCUCGGCGAUCAGCCCGCGCCCCGUAAAAAGGGACGGCCCGCCCGAGGACCCUAAACUCUGCUUUUAGUGGAACUUCUGAGUAAAACAAACAAAUAAAUCA
This 146-nucleotide unclassified non-coding RNA is filed under the name soil metagenome. RNAcentral describes it as "partial internal transcribed spacer 1". The record is from RNAcentral.